GGUGGCUCAGUGGGAGAGCACUUGCUUUGCAUGCAUGAGGACCUAAGUUCGAUUCCUCAGCACCA
Molecule: transfer RNA, 65 nt
Filed under: Dipodomys ordii (Ord's kangaroo rat)
Lineage: Eukaryota; Metazoa; Chordata; Mammalia; Rodentia; Heteromyidae
Rfam family: tRNA
About the family: Transfer RNA (tRNA) molecules are approximately 80 nucleotides in length.
Source: Rfam by way of RNAcentral